RNAcentral lists this ribosomal RNA (253 nucleotides) under uncultured bacterium. Its description in RNAcentral is "partial 16S ribosomal RNA". It matches the Rfam family "Bacterial small subunit ribosomal RNA", at positions 524 to 776 of the family's 1533-position model. The record is from RNAcentral.
UACGAAUUGUGCGAACGUUAUUCGGAAUCACUGGGCUUAAAGGGUGCGUAGGCGGUCAUGUAGGUCUGAUGUGAAAUCCCACGGCUCAACCGUGGAACUGCGUUGGAAACCCCAUGGCUGGAGUAGGACAGAGGUGAGCGGAACAGAUGGUGGAGCGGUGAAAUGCGUUGAUAUCAUCUGGAACACCGGUGGCGAAAGCGGCUCACUGGGUCCUAACUGACGCUGAUGCACGAAAGCCAGGGGAGCAAACGGG